RNAcentral lists this ribosomal RNA (253 nucleotides) under uncultured bacterium. Its description in RNAcentral is "partial 16S ribosomal RNA". It matches the Rfam family "Bacterial small subunit ribosomal RNA", at positions 524 to 776 of the family's 1533-position model. The record is from RNAcentral.
UACGUCGGGGGCAAGCGUUGUCCGGAAUCAUUGGGCGUAAAGAGCGCGUAGGCGGUCCGGUAAGUCCGCUCUGAAAGUCCGGGGCUCAACCCCGGGAGGCGGGCGGAUACUGCCGGGCUAGAGUCCGGAAGAGGGUCGCGGAGUUCCCGGUGUAGAGGUGAAAUUCGUAGAUAUCGGGAGGAACACCAGUGGCGAAGGCGGCGACCUGGGCCAAUAUUGACGCUGAGGUGCGAAAGCGUGGGGAGCAAACAGG